AGCUCCAAUAGCGUAUAUUAAAGUUGUUGCAGUUAAAAAGCUCGUAGUUGGAUUUCUGGCAGGAGUGACCGGUCACGCACUCUGUGCGUGAACUUGUGUUGUCUCUGGCCAUCCUUGGGGAGAUCCUAUUUGGCAUUAAGUUGUCGGGUAGGGGAUACCCAUCGUUUACUGUGAAAAAAUUAGAGUGUUUAAAGCAGGCUUAUGCCGUUGAAUAUAUUAGCAUGGAAUAAUAAGAUAGGACUUCGGAACUAUUUUGUUGGUUUGCGUUACGAAGUAAUGAUUAAUAGGGACAGUUGGGGGUAUUCGUAUUUCAUUGUCAGAGGUGAAAUUCUUGGAUUUCUGAAAGACGAACUACUGCGAAAGCAUUUACCAAGGAUGUUUUCAUUA
RNAcentral lists this ribosomal RNA (387 nucleotides) under Thalassiosira sp. Its description in RNAcentral is "partial small subunit ribosomal RNA". It matches the Rfam family "Eukaryotic small subunit ribosomal RNA", at positions 587 to 975 of the family's 1831-position model. Lineage: Eukaryota; Bacillariophyta; Thalassiosirophyceae; Thalassiosirales; Thalassiosiraceae. The record is from RNAcentral.